UACAGAGACUGCAAGCGUUACUCGGAUUCACUGGGCGUAAAGGGAGCGCAGGCGGAUCGGUGUGUCGGAUGUGAAAUCCCGGGGCUUAACUCCGGGGCUGCGUCCGAAACUGCCGAUCUAGAGAUUCGGAGGGGCUAGUGGAAUUCCUGGUGGAGCAGUGAAAUGCGUAGAUAUCAGGAGGAACACCAACGGCGAAGGCAGCUAGCUGGACGAAAUCUGACGCUCAGGCUCGAAAGUAUGGGGAGCAAAAAGG
Molecule: ribosomal RNA, 253 nt
Filed under: uncultured bacterium
Lineage: Bacteria
Description: partial 16S ribosomal RNA
Rfam family: Bacterial small subunit ribosomal RNA
Source: RNAcentral